CCCGCUGAACUUAAGCAUAUCAGUAAGCGGAGGAAAAGAAACCAACAGGGAUUUCCUGAGUAACUGCGAGUGAAAAGGGAAGAGCUCAGCGCUAAAAAUGCUUGCAUCUUGUAAGCAUUGGUGUGGCGUUUGGAGAGUCCUAUCUGUGGGUGCAUCGCGGUCUAAAUUUCACUGGAACGUGGUUGCAAAGAUGGUUUUACACCAGUCGGGCCGUAGUGCCCCGCAGAGACGACCCUCUUGGAGUCGGGUUGUUUGGAAACGCAGCCCAAAGCGGGUGGUAAACUUCACCUAAAGCUAAAUAUGGCUACGAGACCGAUAGCAAACAAGUACUGUGAAGGAAAGUUGAAAAGCACUUUGAAAAGAGAGUGCAAGAGAACGUGAAACCGUUAUAGUGGAAGCGGAUGGAGCCGACGUAUCCGGCGCGUAUUCAGCCACAGGUCGGCAUGCGAUGUGUGUUCGAUGUUCUGCAAAGUCGUCGGCAUACAUUUUCGUGUUGGCAAGUGGUGCACUUGCGCGCAGAGUGCGCCGAAUCGGUCGAGCACGCCGUUGGAAGACCGAAAAGAGGACAAGCUUCGGCUUGAAACCUGGUCGGUCGGAUGGCGGAUGGGUUUGGCUGUUGAAGGGGGAUUGGUGAAUUCGUGGUUGGCGGUGGAUAGUAGGAUUAUUCGGGUCCGGUGCAUGCAUUGAGCCCCCAUGGUUUUGCUGUCCGCUGUUCGCUGCUCAGUCCCACAUUCGGUGUCUAGUCGGUCACCCAUUUGACCCGUCUUGAAACACGG
This 776-nucleotide ribosomal RNA is filed under the name uncultured fungus. Its description in RNAcentral is "eukaryotic LSU rRNA". It matches the Rfam family "Eukaryotic large subunit ribosomal RNA", at positions 24 to 664 of the family's 3401-position model. Lineage: Eukaryota; Fungi. The record is from RNAcentral.